This 425-nucleotide ribosomal RNA is filed under the name uncultured bacterium. RNAcentral's name for it is "bacterial SSU rRNA". It matches the Rfam family "Bacterial small subunit ribosomal RNA", at positions 354 to 796 of the family's 1533-position model. The record is from RNAcentral.
GUGGGGAAUAUUGGACAAUGGGCGCAAGCCUGAUCCAGCCAUGCCGCGUGAGUGAUGAAGGCCCUAGGGUUGUAAAGCUCUUUCACCGGUGAAGAUAAUGACGGUAACCGGAGAAGAAGCCCCGGCUAACUUCGUGCCAGCAGCCGCGGUAAUACGAAGGGGGCUAGCGUUGUUCGGAUUUACUGGGCGUAAAGCGCACGUAGGCGGUUUGUUAAGUCAGAGGUGAAAUCCCGGAGCUCAACUCCGGAACUGCCUUUGAUACUGGCAAGCUAGAGUCCGGAAGAGGUAAGUGGAACUCCUAGUGUAGAGGUGGAAUUCGUAGAUAUUAGGAAGAACACCAGUGGCGAAGGCGGCUUACUGGUCCGGAACUGACGCUGAGGUGCGAAAGCGUGGGGAGCAAACAGGAUUAGAAACCCGGGUAGUCC